Molecule: long non-coding RNA, 580 nt
Filed under: Panax ginseng (ginseng)
Lineage: Eukaryota; Viridiplantae; Streptophyta; Magnoliopsida; Apiales; Araliaceae
Description: long non-coding RNA (PGIN_LNC018467)
Source: RNAcentral
AAAAAAAUAUUUAUAGAGUAUUUAACCCUAGUCUACGAAUUGGGAGAUUCUUGGAUAUGUAAAGGCAUUUUAGCUGGGAAAGAUCUUUGGAUUCAUAGUUCAGCAAAAGCAAAAGCAAAAACAAUUGGUGCAGGGGAAUCUUAUCUACGAAUAUCUGGGCAGAGGGCAGACUAAUGAAUCAAUUCUCCUCACGCCUCCUAUUCGAUCCAACCUUACUAAUGAAGACUGCUUCUUCUCUGUUUUAUGCUGCUAUGGAUGGAAGAGAAUGAAGCACGGAGAGAUGUGGAUGGAAGGGAAAGGAGGCUGGAGGACUGAGGGAUUGGGCGGCAGGGACAUAAAGGGGAAGGGGGAAGCGGCAGAGAGAAGGGGGGAUAGACAGAGAGUACAGAGAACAAUUGGGUAGUAGCGUUAUCAAGGGAUAAAAGAAGGAUUUUGUAAUAUUGAAGAUGUCAUUUUUGUCUAAAAAAUAGUCAAUUUUGUUCUGAUGGACUUCUAAAUAGUUAACAUAUAAUUUUGUAACUUACUGAGUAAGAGGCAAAUUUUUUUUACCAAACAAGUUUAAUCUUGGACCGAAUCAGAG